This 159-nucleotide small nuclear RNA is filed under the name Panthera pardus (leopard). Lineage: Eukaryota; Metazoa; Chordata; Mammalia; Carnivora; Felidae. The record is from RNAcentral.
GUCUUGCUGGAUUAGCUGGGUGGCCCUAACUGCCAUCAUCAGUGUCAUCACAAGAGAGAAGCUUCCACAAUACACAUACUAAAAAUGGAAUACUAUAGAGAAAAGUGCAUGGUCCUGCACAAGAAUGACACACAAAUUCAUGAAGAGCUCCACAUUUAA